AAGGAGAGUAAUAAUUUAAUGUAUAUUUUACAAAUUUCGAAGGCGUGUCAGAGAUAUUUUCUCACCCUAAUCAUGAAUAGUGAUGGCAAUGUAUAGGUAUCCGGCUGCAUUUAAUGGGCUUUGGGUUAAGGUGUAUUGAUGUAUAGACGUACGUAUCUAUCCCCAAUUUGGCUAUAAAUUGAGACUGCCAUCUUCACCAACGCACUAAGAAAAGCAAACAGCCUUUUCCGCUUUGUCUGGGAGAUUCCGGAUACGUUUCUGUGAAAACAGGUUUGAAGAUGGGAACAUUUGUUCGGAUUGUUCAAGGUGUUUGGGAAAAGACGCCUACCGGGGAGUGGAGGUUUGAUGAAAAUCCAGCUGCUGAACAAGAUACUCUUUUAAUCCACCCCCACGACUCAUUUGAAGGCUUGGUGGAGAUGAUUCGUAUAAGGCUCGAUCUUGGGGUUCUUACUCCAGUCGCCUUAACAUAUCAGCUCCCCGAGUGGAUGCUCCUUCCUGAGGGUCCAAAGACACCACCGGUUACUUUGUCUACCGAUAGAGAUAUCGAGGUUAUGUUGAGUGAGGGAGUAUAUGACACAACCGGUGAUGUAUGUGACUAGCGGACCUGAGCUAGUUGCUAAGUACCACUUUCUUUGUCGAACCCCAUUCAAAAUUGGUGACCAAAGUUUCCUAGGAGAGGGGAUAACUGAAGAACAGCAUCACCAAGCAAUAAGAGACCUCGUUGGAGGACAGCCGAUCGUCUGUAGGCAAUCUAUGUUGGAGUUGUUGUUCAAUGAACCUCAGCUACUCAUCGUCUAUCGUGUUGCUCUUGAGAUAGAUAUGGUUUAUGCGCCAACUCCUGAGGAAAGGGCUGCAUUUCAACGUUUGACUGUUGAUGAUAUGAUCGCCAUACAGGAUGGUGAAACCAUCUACAUUGACGAGGGAAGGAACAAUGCACCAACAGAAGAAGUUUUACAUGGUGAACCGAUGGAUGUUGAUAACCUCCACCGUGCUUUUCCCAAUAUAACACCUCGGAAUGUACAAGGCCAUGGAAUUCCCCUGGAGGUUUAACCUCUUAACCAAAUCCCAAGAUUACCUCCUAUAGGAAGAGGUGACAGAGGAACAGUUUGAUGCAAAUGGAAUAUCGGAAACGCAGCAGAACUAUGAAGUGAAUGUGACGCCUGCCCCUCGUCCAACAAACGGUGCGUUAGGCCUUCCCAUUGGUCCAAAUCUCAGGGUCAAUGCACCAACAACACCAACGAGUGUUCUAGUUGUUCAUGAUGAUGAGGCAUCUUACACCGGUUCGUCAGACGGUUUAAACAACGGUAACAAUAACCGUGGGUUAGCUCCACUGAUACCAAUGCGGGAAAGCGUCAUUAACAUCUCCCAAGCACUGGAGCAAGGAGAGGAUGCUGUGCCAAUACAGAACCGUAGUUCAGCACCGUUAACCCAACAGGGCGAUGGUGGAACACGUACUGCGACACGUAACUAUGGCGAUCCAUGUCUCGAUCUCACACUUGGGAUUGGAAUGAAUAACGAUACUGCAACCGAAGCUAUCAUUGAAAUAGAGGACUCGGACUCUGAGGCCGACGGGGACAGUGGUGGGUUUGGGCCUGAUCCCUUCUUUUAAAAUCCUACAAAUAAAUAAGUUGUCUGAAGCUUUGUAAAAUAGCUGUAGUGGGUGAUCCCUAUUUUGGUUUAAUCGUCAACGAACGAUGCAAUGUCUAAUAUCUGCCACAUUUUGUAAUGUAAAAUAUGAAUGUUAAAUAUGUUUGAUAUUUUCGUACCUUACCACCACUAAUUUGCGAAACACACACAAACUUUGUAGGAAACCAAACAGUUGCACUGGACGAUCUAUACGAAGGAAUGGUGUUUAAAAAUAAGGGACACUUCAAACAACAUAUGACAGUUUAUGCUUUGCGAAAGAAAUUCACGUUCAGGAACACACGCUCUUCACCGGAAGGAAUGGUGAUGGAAUGCAUAAGUGGAACACGCCAGUGGCGAGUCUAUGCUACGAAGAUGAAAACUCUGGACAAGUUUGAAGUCAGAAAAGCACAAUUACAACACACCUGUUCCGUAGAUGAUCGCGUUGGUAAAUUUAAAGAUAACCUUAUCAAACAUUGAACUUUAUUCUGUACAUGAAUAAUCUAGUUCGAAUAUAGAAUUACGUUAAAGAAAGGGGGUGAAGUCUUAACUUGUUUUAAAAAACUAUGGUAUUUUUACCUAAUAAACCAUUAAUGUUAGAGAACCUAGUUGAAAAUAACGUUAUUAGAUUACCAUAAUUUAUAGUUAUAACCGGAUAUAGUGUAACUAUAUCCGAAAAUUGUAAUAGGUUGGUUCAUGCUUCUAUAUAUAUAAACAGAAAGUUUGAAUAAACCGAAAUUUUAUUUUAGUGUACCCAAAUUUGUCUACGUUACCCUAACUACUAUAUUGUUCUUUUCAAUCUGCUGCACUUUACUCCCUCUUUCUUCUGUCACUUAAGCUGUUAUCACUAUUACUACUUAUGUUCGAUUAACUUACUUUGUUUUGGUUAUUUUAUGAGUUAACGUCAAGUUAACUCACGCAAGUCAUAUUACCCCCUCCUAUAACUACAUUUUCCUUGUUAAAAAACCUGAAAAACGCUUUGUAAUUUAUAACCAGCUUGGCAUUCUUAUUUAUAUUACAAACUCGGGCUUAGUACAAUCCUGCCUCCAUCCAUUCUUACAACAUAUUUUACAUCAUUUAUAUAGUUAGAUUCAUGCUUUCCAGCAUUCCGCCUUGCUUUUCAAACACCAUCAUCAUCUGAGAUUUGCCAAACAUGUUUAAACUUCAUAACCUUCUUAUAUGGCAACUUUGCAUGUAGCUCG
This is a long non-coding RNA of Brassica napus (rape), 2825 nucleotides long. RefSeq lists it as uncharacterized. The transcript has 5 exons. The record is from RefSeq and is a predicted model, not a curated record. NCBI's taxonomy places the organism in Eukaryota, Viridiplantae, Streptophyta, Magnoliopsida, Brassicales, Brassicaceae.